Molecule: unclassified non-coding RNA, 260 nt
Filed under: Hevea brasiliensis (rubber tree)
Lineage: Eukaryota; Viridiplantae; Streptophyta; Magnoliopsida; Malpighiales; Euphorbiaceae
Source: RNAcentral
CUGCCAAGCUUACCUGCUGCUUAACUCUGUGAACACAAUCAUAAUAGCUCCUAGUUAAAGGAGCACAUUUCAAAAUAUCAUUACCAUGCUCCUUGUAGCAUGCCCNNNNNNNNUCACCCAAACAGGGCAUAGGCUUCUGAUAUGGAAGCUUAAAUUCCUUAUCAUGAAGAUCCUUGGCCCUUUCUGUUACUGCUUGCAGCAUGCCAUCUUCCUGCUUCUGCAACUUUGCCAAAACUCUUUCACUUUCUUGAAGGACAGAU